GCAAAACAUGCCCGAAACAGAAUCAUUUAUCCCAUAGAUAAAAAAGGAAAAUUAUUUGCAUUUAUUAUAGUAAAUCUAUAGGGAUCAAAUCCAAAUAGUUCAUAAAUCAAUUACACACCGUCGUCUGACACCUAUUAAAAGCAGAACAUAACUCCGCUGCAGCGGACACGUGUGAGUUACUUGGGAGACAUGAGAAAACGAGGAAGGAUCUCUAGUUCAUAUAAACACUACAGGUCAAAAUAGCAUUAACACUGACAUUGAUCUCAUCGAACAAAAACCUAUGCAAAAAAUAGAAAUGAAUAACGCCAAAACAUUUUGAAAUUAAUUUUUUUUUUUU
RNAcentral lists this unclassified non-coding RNA (337 nucleotides) under Hevea brasiliensis (rubber tree). The record is from RNAcentral. Lineage: Eukaryota; Viridiplantae; Streptophyta; Magnoliopsida; Malpighiales; Euphorbiaceae.